CACGAAAUUAUUUGAGCUAGUUUUGUUAAACUAUCAUGUAGCAUAAUGAUAAAUUAAAUAAAACUAGGGGUGAUAGGCUUUACAAAUAUAAUGAUAUCUUGAUUCUUUUGAAAUGUAUAAGUACNCAAACGAAUUUAAAGCUAUAAGGUUUUAAAUAAUAAUAAAAUUUAAUUACGUUGAUGUAUGAUAUAAAAAUCUAUAUAAUUAUUUAUAUAAUAUUUAAUUUAAAUAUAUUAUUUUUUUUUAAAGAGAUGUAUAACAAUUUAAUAAUUAUUAACAAUGUUAUUAUAAGUAUUAAGAAGCUAUUAAUAGUGAACUCGGCAAUAAGUUUUCAACUGUUUAUCAAAAACAUAGCUGUGUGUAAGCACACGCAGUGGUUUCUGCUCAAUGAAUUAUUAAAUAGCCGCAGUACCUUGACUGUGCAAAGGUAGCGUAAUCAUUUGUCUUUUAAUUGAAGUCGUGUAUGAAUGAAUGCAUGGGGACUUUCUUUACCAUUAAUAACCUUUGAAAUUACUUAGUGAGUGAAAAAUCUCAUAAUUAAAAAAUAGACGAGAAGACCCUAGAAAUUUGUAUUAACCUUUUGUUGGGGCAACAUAGUAACAAAUAACUUACUAUAUGUAUAUGAAAUUUAAUUGAUAACGUAAAUUACUCUAGGGAUAACAGCAUAAUAUAAGAAUGUUUGUGACCUCGAUGUUGGAUUAGGGAGUUAUAGUUUAGAA
This 719-nucleotide ribosomal RNA is filed under the name Setobaudinia capillacea. Its description in RNAcentral is "partial 16S ribosomal RNA". The stretch from base 320 to 485 matches the Rfam family "Archaeal large subunit ribosomal RNA", at positions 1876 to 2091 of the family's 2987-position model. Lineage: Eukaryota; Metazoa; Mollusca; Gastropoda; Stylommatophora; Camaenidae. The record is from RNAcentral.